Ipomoea triloba (trilobed morning glory) is the source of this 1112-nucleotide long non-coding RNA. RefSeq lists it as uncharacterized. The record is from RefSeq and is a predicted model, not a curated record. NCBI's taxonomy places the organism in Eukaryota, Viridiplantae, Streptophyta, Magnoliopsida, Solanales, Convolvulaceae. The transcript is spliced from 7 exons.
AGUGAAUUCACUCCUCUCUCUCUCUGCGAUUCAGGUCUCCAAAGGCUCAAGCUUUCAACUUUGUCCACUACAUUUGGUCUGCCAGGUGCCGAUUUCUGAUAAUUGUGGUCUACUCAUGGACGAUCAAACUAUUGCGACGAUUUUGGUAAAGUUUUGACCGUCUCCGUCGAGAAUUACGAGCCGCCGUUGAUUCACAGAGCCGAAAUUUCAUACCAAGAACAAACUCUUCCUGUUUUUCAGAAAAUUGAAGACCUGUCCACUAAAGUACAUGAAUUGAGAAAAGAGCAUGCAGCUUUUAAGCGAUGAGGUGAAGGGUAUACCGGGGAUUCUUUUCCUUGUCCUGAAGUUUUCUGUGCUCUUAGGGAUCUUAGUGUGCAACAUGAACUUCUUAGUGUGCCCUUUUGAAGAAAAGAUAUCUUGAUGAAUGAUGAGUGCUCAGAGAGGAAUGAAGUGAUUGAGUUGAAAGGCAACAUUCGGGUUUUCUGUAGAUGUAGACCAUUAAACUCUGAGGAAGUUGCGAAUGGUUCAACAUUUGUGGUUGAUUUUGAUAUGUCUCGGGGAAAUGAGAUACAAAUUGUUUCCUCUGAUUCUUGUUGAAAGCAAUUUAGGUUUGAUCAUGUUUUUAAACCAGAGGAUGGUCAAGAGGCUGUUUUUGUUGAAGCCAUUCCUAUUGUAACCUCUGUUUUGGAUGGUUUUUAAUGUCUACAUUUUUGCCAAUCGGCAAACUGGAACUGGCAAGACAUUUCACAAUGGAAGGAACACCAGAAAUUGACAUAGGGGAGUCAACUAUCAAACUUUGGAGAAAUUGUUCAGCUUGCAUUAUGAAGUAUGAUUUGUUUGUCAGCAUGUUAGAGGUUUACAAUGAAAAGAUAAGGGACAUUGUUGUUGACAACUUCAGCGAACCAGUUAAGAAGUGUCAAUGGCGGUUUGGUAUGCUGUUGAAAAAGAGUUUCUAACAAUUUUCUAUGCAUGUUUCCAUACUAAGCUUACAUCUAAUUCUUUAUUAUGUUCAUUAAAUCUUGAGACUUUUAUUCUAUGUCUGACUAUCUGUUUGAUUUUUUACAUUUGUAUGGUGUUAUUACAUAUUUUUUAGCUAAACAUAUAUAUAUAUG